CAGUCGCCGCGGGAAUACGUAGGUCCCGAGCGUUGUCCGGAUUUAUUGGGCGUAAAGCGAGCGCAGGCGGUUUGAUAAGUCUGAAGUUAAAGGCUGUGGCUCAACCAUAGUUCGCUUUGGAAACUGUCAAACUUGAGUGCAGAAGGGGAGAGUGGAAUUCCAUGUGUAGCGGUGAAAUGCGUAGAUAUAUGGAGGAACACCGGUGGCGAAAGCGGCUCUCUGGUCUGUAACUGACGUUGAGGCUCGAAAGCGUGGGGAGCGAACAGGAUUAGAGACCCCCGUAGUCCCUGUCUCUUAUACA
RNAcentral lists this ribosomal RNA (301 nucleotides) under uncultured bacterium. RNAcentral describes it as "partial 16S ribosomal RNA". It matches the Rfam family "Bacterial small subunit ribosomal RNA", at positions 509 to 808 of the family's 1533-position model. The record is from RNAcentral.